GUUCCUGCAACCUGGAGCUUCCGUACUGAAAUGACAACCCUGUGGACCCCAAGGGAAAGAAGAAAGGAAGGGGUCACUGAGAGGGUCUGAUUCUGUAGGUUCAGGCUGCUGCCAGGAGAGAGGAAUGUCUACAACACUCACUAUUCCUGGAAUCUGAGAUAAACACAGGCUCAAGGCUAGGCCCAUGAUGGGCUACAUCCCUGACCCUCACAGUUUGAAAGAUUCUAAAUUUUAUUACUGGACAAACACCCUAAUGUAGACAUGAACAAGUCUCCAGAUUAAAAAUGUUGAACUCCAUGUAGGACGGCUCCAUGACCACAAUGAGUAUAAACUGCAGUCUUGCCAUUGUGUGGAUCCUUACGGACUCAGCUUCGUUCUCCUCCAGUGUCUUCUUCUAGAGUUGUACCUGUUUUGUUUUGUUUUAUUACCAAUUUUCAUCGGAAUCCAUUGAGGAAAAGGACAAUUUCGCUUUUGUUUCUUGGCCAGGAAUUGCUUGAUUCUGAAAGUCUUGUAAGACAACAUGGCGAGAAUUCGACUCAGGCGUAG
This is a long non-coding RNA of Rattus norvegicus (Norway rat), 546 nucleotides long. Lineage: Eukaryota; Metazoa; Chordata; Mammalia; Rodentia; Muridae. The record is from Ensembl.